RNAcentral lists this ribosomal RNA (377 nucleotides) under uncultured bacterium. RNAcentral describes it as "bacterial SSU rRNA". It matches the Rfam family "Bacterial small subunit ribosomal RNA", at positions 32 to 402 of the family's 1533-position model. The record is from RNAcentral.
AACGCUAGCUACAGGCUUAACACAUGCAAGUCGAGGGGCGGCGCGUUGAGUAGCAAUACGAUAUGGCGGCGACCGGCGCACGGGUGCGUAACAGGUGUGCAAUCUGUCCAUAAUCGGGGAAUAGCCCGGCGAAAGCCGGAUUAACGCUCCAUGUGAGUAACCACCGCAUGAUGGUUAUUUGAAACGUUAAGGAUUAUGGUUGAGCACGCUUCUGAUUAGGUAGUUGGUGAGGUAACGGCUCACCAAGCCGACGAUCAGUAGGGGUUCUGAGAGGAAGGUCCCCCACAUUGGAACUGAGACACGGUCCAAACUCCUACGGGAGGCAGCAGUGAGGAAUAUUGGUCAAUGGACGGAAGUCUGAACCAGCCAAGUAGCGU